GAAAUGCGAUAAGUAAUGUGAAUUGCAGAAUUCAGUGAAUCAUCGAAUCUUUGAACGCACCUUGCGCUCCUUGGUAUUCCGAGGAGCAUGCCUGUUUGAGUGUCAUUAAAUUCUCAACCCCUUCAGCUUUUGCAAGUUGUAAUGGGGCUUGGAUGUUGGGGGUUUGCGGGCCUUUAUUAUAAUAGAGGUCGGCUCUCCUGAAAUGCAUUAGCGGAACCGUUUGCAGUUCUAUCAUUAGUGUGAUAAUUAUCUACACUGUGAUGAUUGCUCUCUGACUAGUUCAGCUGCUAAUCGUCCACUUGUUGGACAAUAUAUAUAAUGAACCUCUUGACCUCAAAUCAGGUAGGACUACCCGCUGAACUUAA
This 365-nucleotide unclassified non-coding RNA is filed under the name uncultured Entoloma. RNAcentral describes it as "sequence contains ITS1". The stretch from base 1 to 105 matches the Rfam family "5.8S ribosomal RNA", at positions 50 to 154 of the family's 154-position model. The record is from RNAcentral. Lineage: Eukaryota; Fungi; Basidiomycota; Agaricomycetes; Agaricales; Entolomataceae.